RNAcentral lists this ribosomal RNA (98 nucleotides) under uncultured bacterium. Its description in RNAcentral is "partial 16S ribosomal RNA". It matches the Rfam family "Bacterial small subunit ribosomal RNA", at positions 1384 to 1482 of the family's 1533-position model. The record is from RNAcentral.
UACACACCGCCCGUCACGCCACGAAAGUGGUCUUAACCAGAAGUGAGUGAGCUAACUUCGUGAGGCAGCUUACCAAGGUUGAGGCCGUGAUUGGGGCG